UUAAAAUAAUUUUCAUCAUCUAGACAUUAAGACCUUUUUAUAUUAGGCCACAUGAGCUGCGAAAUAUGAUGGAAAAAUGAGCUAUGUGACCAAGGCAUACGAAAUUGUUGUUGAUCAUAUAACAAUUGUGUCAUUUGCUAUUGCCCAUGGAUCAAAACCUGGUAAAGUCAUUAAUUCUUUCAAAAGCUGUAUGAUUUUCUCUCGCAAGAUGAUUCACUAACAUAAGUUAUGUAUAAGUGAAGAAAGUAGUGGUAUGUUUUCCAACGUCUAUUCCAACGUCCAGUUCGUUAUGGAAUGGAAUAUUUAGAAGCCAAACAAGGUGUUUUCAGUGGGUAAGUCAAAUAGAAGAUUAUUUAUCGCAUUCUCAUUUUCAAUAUAGAUUUUGUCUUUCAAUAGAAUCUGACACUGUUUUUCAAUAUAGACUUGUAAAAUUUGUUGUUCGGGUGAUGGGCGAUGUCCUCACACAGCUGAAGGAACAUGAAGAACAUAUCACCCAAAUUUUAAGAAUCGAUGAAUUAGGCUUCCGCAACACCAAGGUGAGUACUGAAUUUUAAAUUCUGAUAGAGGAAAAAAAACGGGUUCUUUUAUUUGAAACUUACGUAAUGCUUUCCUUCCUUUUUUUAUAUCUGACACUUGGGUUUCUAUUUGUUAAUGAAGCAAUAUGUGCUCAACUUUAACGACUCUAAGAAGCCUGAUUCACACAUAUCCACAGCUCUGAUCGAGAUACUGAAGGUAUGUUACUCUUGUAUAUUGUUUUCUGAAGCUAUGGUACUCUAUAAUAUUUAUAAUAUUUAAAAUUCUUCUAAAGUUAAAAUAUUUAUAAUAUUUGAAACUUCAUAAAAGUCUUA
This 848-nucleotide small RNA is filed under the name Arabidopsis thaliana (thale cress). RNAcentral's name for it is "ATSL051460". The record is from RNAcentral. Lineage: Eukaryota; Viridiplantae; Streptophyta; Magnoliopsida; Brassicales; Brassicaceae.